GUGUUCCUCAGGCAGCAACAGGUGUCUUCUACAGGGGCAGGGUGGUCUGGCUGGGAGCCUCCUGACUUGUGUGUUCCUCAGGCAGCAACAGGUGUCUUCUACAGGGGCAGGGUGGUCUGGCUGGGAGCCUCCUGACCUGUGUUUUCCUCAGGCAGCAGCAGGUGUCUUCUACAGGGGCAGGGUGGUCUGGCUGGGAGCCUCCUGACCUGUGUGUUCCUCAGGCAGCAGCAGGUGUCUUCUACAGGGGCAGGGUGGUCUGGCUGGGAGCCUCCUGACCUGUGUGUUCCUCAGGCAGCAGCAGGUGUCUUCUACAGGGGCAGGGUGGUCUGGCUGGGAGCCUCCUGACCGGUGUGUUCCUCAGGCAGCAGCAGGUGUCUUCUACAGGGGCAGGGUGAUCUGGCUGGGAGUCUCCUGACCUGUGUGUUCCUCAGGCAGCAGCAGGUGUCUUCUACAGGGGCAGGGGGGUCUGGCUGGGAGCCUCCUGACCUGUGUGUUCCUCA
This is a long non-coding RNA of Oncorhynchus tshawytscha (Chinook salmon), 500 nucleotides long. NCBI's taxonomy places the organism in Eukaryota, Metazoa, Chordata, Actinopteri, Salmoniformes, Salmonidae. The record is from Ensembl.